GGGGUUUCCUUUUCUUUGGUCUCCCUUGUUUCUUGGGUGGCGGGUGGGGGGAUAACUGGCUGUUCAGUACCGAGGGGCCAGACUGGGGGUGGUAGAAAUGCCACACUCUCUUUGGUUUAGGUUUUUGACUUUAUUUUCUUUUAUUUUUUAAAAGUCUAUGACAGUUGCGUUGUUUUUCUCCGCCCGCCUGCCCCCCACCCCCGAGCAACCCCAUCCCAGGAUCCUGUCUUUCUGGGAAGUCUUUUUAAUACGAGUCCCUAACCAUCCUACACUCUUCACUUUCCUUUCCACCCCAUUCAUUCUCUGAACUUAUCACAGUGUUUUGCACUUGAUUAUGUAUCCUUCACUUUCUUCUUUAUCCCAUCAUCCCCUCAGUAGGUCUGGUGAGGGAGGUUGGGGGGAGGUGGGAGGAGGGGCAGAAGUGGAAGCAUAGGAAGGAUGUUACCUCUUCUCUUACUUU
This 460-nucleotide long non-coding RNA is filed under the name Bos taurus (domestic cattle). Its description in RNAcentral is "long non-coding RNA NONBTAT017849". Lineage: Eukaryota; Metazoa; Chordata; Mammalia; Artiodactyla; Bovidae. The record is from RNAcentral.